AUAGAAAGAGGAAUUGGGUCCAACCAUGUGCUAACAAGGUUACCAUGAACCCAAUAGAUUUCUCUAAACCCAAUUAACACUUCAUGAGCUCAAUUUCUUAUUCCAGACCUAAUUUCUUUAUUGUGUAACCUAAUAGAUUUAAUUCUAUCUGAAAAGUGAGAUAUACAAUCAUCUCUAUCAUUAUAUCACUGAAACUCUUUUCAAUAGAUCGGAACAAUUUCACUCUAACUCAAUAAGGAUUGUCGAUCUGGAAUAAUUCUAGUGAGCUCUCACAGUCCACCAAUGAUACCUAGCAGUAUGUAGUGGUAACUUAGUAAAACUGAAAUGAAUCUUUAGGUAUAGUUAAUGUGUGAUUUAGUCCCUCUAUCAUGAGUCCGGACUAGAUGGCAAGUCAUAGAUAAAUCGUCAAACCUCGACAUCAGUCAUAUGAUAGAUUUGAUUAGCUCAAGUCCAGAUAUGAUAUCUAUGAAAACUUUUUUUCAUCCAUAACUCUACUAUGGCCAUAAAUUUUGUUAGAUGUGUGCCCUAGAUGCC
This 534-nucleotide long non-coding RNA is filed under the name Elaeis guineensis (African oil palm). Its description in RNAcentral is "long non-coding RNA (EGUI_LNC073938)". The record is from RNAcentral. Lineage: Eukaryota; Viridiplantae; Streptophyta; Magnoliopsida; Arecales; Arecaceae.